UACGUAGGGGGCAAGCGUUGUCCGGAAUCAUUGGGCGUAAAGCGCACGUAGGCGGCCCUGUAAGUCCGUUGUGAAAGUCAAAGGCUCAACCUUUGAAUGCCGAUGGAUACUGCAGGGCUAGAGUCCGGAAGAGGAGAGUGGAAUUCCUGGUGUAGCGGUGAAAUGCGCAGAUAUCAGGAAGAACACCCGUGGCUAAGGCGGCUCUCUAGUACGGUACUGACGCUGAGACGCGAAAGCGUGGGGAGCGAACAGG
This 253-nucleotide ribosomal RNA is filed under the name uncultured bacterium. RNAcentral's name for it is "partial 16S ribosomal RNA". It matches the Rfam family "Bacterial small subunit ribosomal RNA", at positions 524 to 776 of the family's 1533-position model. The record is from RNAcentral.